Helianthus annuus (common sunflower) is the source of this 783-nucleotide long non-coding RNA. RefSeq lists it as uncharacterized. Lineage: Eukaryota; Viridiplantae; Streptophyta; Magnoliopsida; Asterales; Asteraceae. The transcript has 2 exons. The record is from RefSeq and is a predicted model, not a curated record.
GUUAUGUCGCAAAAUUACCCACUGCUAUCAAAUAAGUUAACAGAUCUGUUAACUGGGAUGUGAAAUGACUAUUUUACCCUUUCAUAUUACCCCCUAUAGUUGGUUCUACUCUGUAAUAUUACCCAUGGUGUAAAAUGACUAAAUUGUCCUUUCUUAUUACCCCCUGUGGUUUGUUGUACUCUGCAAUAUUACCCCCCGGUGUUAAAUAGUUCUUGCAAACCUUACCCCCUACAGAAAAAAAAACCUUUCCCGCCUAAACCACCAUCAGCCGCCAUCACCCACCUCCACCACCAUCAGCCGCCACCACCCACCUCCACCUCCAUCGCCGCUACCCACUUCCACCUCAUCUCAUCCACCACCCACCUCAACCAGUUAAAUAUACACAACCCAUCCCCUUUUCUUUCUGAUUUUCCCGCCAAAAACAAUAAAGUGAAACCGGAGAGAGGAGGAAGAAGAACCCUAGCACAGCAGAUCGAUGGCAACGGCGGACGAAGUUCACAUCUUCGAUAACGAUCUCAAGGGAAUUAGGGAUCUGACGAGGUAUGCUAUGUCUUCAUGCUACGUAGAGAAGUGAUGUCAUCCACGUUUAGAGAUUGUGACUUUUGCCUGGACGAGUCACAAGUCUUAAACGGUGUUUAAUUUAUGUUUGUGGUUGUGUCCUAUGAACAAGAUUUUAUUUUGUUGGGUUGUAUUCUCGUUGCAUGUGUCGACUUUAAACAAUGUUGUCAUAUUUUACUCUUAAAACUUGAAUCAAUGGAUGGACAUCACGGUUUUAUUUUCAUA